This 460-nucleotide ribosomal RNA is filed under the name uncultured bacterium. Its description in RNAcentral is "partial 16S ribosomal RNA". It matches the Rfam family "Bacterial small subunit ribosomal RNA", at positions 338 to 795 of the family's 1533-position model. The record is from RNAcentral.
CCUACGGGUGGCAGCAGUGAGGAAUAUUGGUCAAUGGGCGAGAGCCUGAACCAGCCAAGUAGCGUGAAGGAUGACGGCCCUACGGGUUUUAAACUUCUUUUAUAAGGGAAUAAAGUGAGGCACGUGUGCCGUUUUGUAUGUACUUUAUGAAUAAGGAUCGGCUAAGUCCGUGCCAGCAGCCGCGGUAAUACGGAGGAUCCGAGCGUUAUCCGGAUUUAUUGGGUUUAAAGGGAGCGUAGAUGGGUUGUUAAGUCAGUUGUGAAAGUUUGCGGCUCAACCGUAAAACUGCAAUUGAUACUGGCAGUCUGGAGUACAGUUGAGGUAGGCGGAAUUCGUGGUGUAGCGGUGAAAUGCUUAGAUAUCACGAAGAACUCCGAUUGCGAAGGCAGCUUACUAACCUGCCACUGACAGUGAUGCGCGAAAGUGUGGGUAUCAAACAGGAUUAGAUACCCGAGUAGUC